GACGAACGCUGGCGGCGUGCUUAACACAUGCAAGUCGAACGAUGAAGCCCAGCUUGCUGGGUGGAUUAGUGGCGAACGGGUGAGUAACACGUGGGCAACCUGCCCCAAACUCUGGGAUAACUCCUCGAAAGAGGUGCUAAUACCGGAUACGAACUAGGUAGACAUCUGCACUAGUUGGAAAGUUUUUCGGUGUGGGAUGGGCCCGCGGCCUAUCAGCUUGUUGGUGGGGUGAUGGCCUACCAAGGCGACGACGGGUAGCCGGCCUGAGAGGGGGCCCGGCCACACUGGGACUGAGAUACGGCCCAGACUCCUACGGGAGGCAGCAGUGGGGAAUAUUGCACAAUGGGCGCAAGCCUGAUGCAGCGACGCCGCGUGAGGGAUGACGGCCUUCGGGUUGUAAACCUCUUUCAGCACCGACGAAGCGCAAGUGACGGUAGGUGCAGAAGAAGGACCGGCCAACUACGUGCCAGCAGCCGCCGUAA
This 482-nucleotide ribosomal RNA is filed under the name uncultured bacterium. RNAcentral describes it as "partial 16S ribosomal RNA". It matches the Rfam family "Bacterial small subunit ribosomal RNA", at positions 28 to 523 of the family's 1533-position model. The record is from RNAcentral.